Molecule: ribosomal RNA, 800 nt
Filed under: uncultured Pelagibacteraceae bacterium
Lineage: Bacteria; Pseudomonadati; Pseudomonadota; Alphaproteobacteria; Candidatus Pelagibacterales; Candidatus Pelagibacteraceae
Description: bacterial SSU rRNA
Rfam family: Bacterial small subunit ribosomal RNA
Source: RNAcentral
GCUGGCGGCACGCCUAACACAUGCAAGUCGAACGCAGUAGCAAUACUGAGUGGCGAACGGGUGAGUAUAAUGUGGGUAUCUGCCCUUUGGUUUGGAAUAACACGAGGAAACUUGUGCUAAUACCGGAUAAGCCUUCACAGGGAAAGCUUUAGCGCCAAAGGAUGAGCCCGCACUUGAUUAGCUAGUUGGUAAGGUAAUGGCUUACCAAGGCUACGAUCAAUAGCUGAUCUGAGAGGAUGAUCAGCCACAUUGGGACUGAGACACGGCCCAAACUUCUACGGAAGGCAGCAGUGGGGAGUCUUGCACAAUGGGGGAAACCCUGAUGCAGCGAUGCCGCGUGAGUGAAGAAGGCCCUUGGGUUGUAAAGCUCUUUCGUCGGGGAAGAAAAUGACUGUACCCGAAUAAGAAGGUCCGGCUAACUUCGUGCCAGCAGCCGCGGUAAUACGAAGGGACCUAGCGUAGUUCGGAAUUACUGGGCUUAAAGAGCACGUAGGUGGUUAAGAAAGUUGGUGGUGAAAUCCCAAGGCUUAACCUUGGAACUGCCACCAAAACUUUUUAACUAGAGUAUGAUUGAGGUAAGCGGAAUUUCUAGUGUAGAGGUGAAAUUCGUAGAUAUUAGAAAGAACACCAAUUGCGAAGGCAGCUUUCUGGAUCAUUACUGACACUGAGGUGCGAAAGCAUGGGUAGCGAAGAGGAUUAGAUACCCUCGUAGUCCAUGCUGUAAACGAUGUGUGCUAGACGUUGGAAAUUUAUUUUUCAGUGUCGCAGCAAAAGCGUUAAGCACACCGCCUGGGGAGUAC